GGCCUCGUAGCUUAACUGGAUAGAGUACCUGGUUACGGCCCAGGAGGUUAGGGGUUCGAAUCCCUUCGAGGUCA
Molecule: transfer RNA, 74 nt
Filed under: Bacteroidota bacterium
Lineage: Bacteria; Pseudomonadati; Bacteroidota
Also listed under: 1 other name
Description: Bacteroidetes bacterium (activated sludge metagenome) tRNA-Arg
Rfam family: tRNA
About the family: Transfer RNA (tRNA) molecules are approximately 80 nucleotides in length. Their secondary structure includes four short double-helical elements and three loops (D, anti-codon, and T loops).
Source: RNAcentral